RNAcentral lists this ribosomal RNA (503 nucleotides) under uncultured bacterium. Its description in RNAcentral is "bacterial SSU rRNA". It matches the Rfam family "Bacterial small subunit ribosomal RNA", at positions 29 to 521 of the family's 1533-position model. The record is from RNAcentral.
AGUGAACGCUGGCGGCAGGCCUAAUACAUGCAAGUCGAACGGCAGCACGGCAGAGCUUGCUCUGUGGGUGGCGAGUGGCGGACGGGUGAGGAAUACAUGGGAAUCUGCCCAGUCGUGGGGGAUAACGUAGGGAAACUUACGCUAAUACCGCAUGCGCCCUUCGGGGAAAGCCGGGGACCUUCGGGCCUGGCGCGAUUGGAUGAGCCCAUGUCGGAUUAGCUAGUUGGCGGGGUAAUGGCCCACCAAGGCGACGAUCCGUAGCUGGUCUGAGAGGAUGAUCAGCCACACUGGAACUGAGACACGGUCCAGACUCCUACGGGAGGCAGCAGUAGGGAAUAUUGGACAAUGGGCGCAAGCCUGAUCCAGCCAUGCCGCGUGAGUGAAGAAGGCCCUCGGGUUGUAAAGCUCUUUUGUCCGGAAAGAAAAGCGCCGGGUUAAUACCCUGGUGUCCUGACGGUACCGGAAGAAUAAGCACCGGCUAACUUCGUGCCAGCAGCCGCGGU